Penaeus vannamei (Pacific white shrimp) is the source of this 72-nucleotide non-coding RNA. Lineage: Eukaryota; Metazoa; Arthropoda; Malacostraca; Decapoda; Penaeidae. The record is from the annotation of a RefSeq genome assembly.
GCCUCCGUGGCGUAACGGUUAGCGCGACGGUCUCUCACCUCGUGGACUCGGGUUCGAUUCCCGGCGGAGGUG